RNAcentral lists this ribosomal RNA (250 nucleotides) under uncultured bacterium. RNAcentral's name for it is "partial 16S ribosomal RNA". It matches the Rfam family "Bacterial small subunit ribosomal RNA", at positions 524 to 773 of the family's 1533-position model. The record is from RNAcentral.
UACGGAGGGUGCAAGCGUUAUCCGGAUUCACUGGGUUUAAAGGGUGCGUAGGUUGAUGGGUAAGUCAGUGGUGAAAUACUCCGACUCAAUCGGAGAACUGCCGUUGAUACUAUCCAUCUUGAAUACGGUGGAGGCGGGCGGAAUGCGUCAUGUAGUGGUGAAAUACUUAGAUAUGACGCAGAACACCUAUUGCGAAGGCAGCUCGCUACACCGGCAUUGACACUGAGGCACGAAAGCGUGGGGAUCAAAC